UACAUUCAUUGGGGGUUUAGUAUUGGGGGGAGGAGGAGGAGGAGGAAGAAGAAAGAGCCUCAUCCUGAUACUCCCCAGUUUUGUUGCGUAUCGCGGAGCUGCAGAUCCGGCUGGAUGUGUGUCGCACUGGAUACAGAAAACACGCUCCUGCUAUUACAAACUGGAUGUGUGUGUGUGCGUGUGUGCGUGUGUGUGUGUGUGUGUGGGUGUGUGUUGGUUUAGUCAUGAAUUACACCUGAGCCGGGCAUGUAGUUUGCCGGGUUCCUGGGCGUGGGGAGCACGAAGGAAGCAGCUUCUUCUUGUGUUUGUUGGAAUAUUGUUGGAGUGAAACUUCAGCAGUGACUGCAGCAGCUGCGCAGCGCGACGCACGACGCACGUUGUUUCUGCUCCGCUCUGCCUCGAUCACAUCACUUUCAUCACACCAGGAUGUACAUUUGGGAACUUUUUAUUUUGGAAGCACCGUGGACACAGAGGACGAGUUUUAUUUUCUAAGUUUUGAUUCCUUGUUUUGGGGGAAUACAGACAGAAAACACGGCUGUGCAGUGAGAGGGGCAUCCAGAGGAGAGCGAGGUGGUUCAUGUCAUCAGAGACCAACAGGCCCGAACACUAAACAGGUAAGGACGGAUUCUUCCUCCGACUUUUACUUUUUAAAUCUUGUCAUGAAGACUUGUAUGAACUCAACAAUGAGCGUUUUCUUCCCGCUUUACUUUCAAACUACUUUCUCUGAACUUUCAC
RNAcentral lists this long non-coding RNA (735 nucleotides) under Cottoperca gobio. RNAcentral describes it as "lncRNA (ENSCGOG00000008380.1)". Lineage: Eukaryota; Metazoa; Chordata; Actinopteri; Perciformes; Bovichtidae. The record is from RNAcentral.